CGGGUUAACGUCCCAUAACGAGCGCCAACCCUAUCAUUAGUUGCCAUCAGGUCAAGCUGGGGACUCUAAUGAAACUGCCUACGCAAGUAGUGAGGAAGGUGGGGAUGACGUCAAAUCAGCACGGCCCUUACGUCCAGGGCUACACACGUGCUACAAUGGCCGGUACAAAGGGCAGCUACCUGGUGACAGGAUGCUAAUCUCAAAAGCCGGUCUCAGUUCGGAUCGGAGUCUGCAACCCGACUCCGUGAAGUUGGAUUCGCUAGUAAUCGCGCAUCAGCCAUGGCGCGGUGAAUACGUUCCCGGCCUU
This 307-nucleotide ribosomal RNA is filed under the name uncultured Sphingobacteriales bacterium. RNAcentral's name for it is "bacterial SSU rRNA". It matches the Rfam family "Bacterial small subunit ribosomal RNA", at positions 1074 to 1381 of the family's 1533-position model. The record is from RNAcentral. Lineage: Bacteria; Pseudomonadati; Bacteroidota; Sphingobacteriia; Sphingobacteriales.